UUGCCGGAGAGCUUACAAUAUGACAUUUACAACAGCAGCUCCAUCAAGUCUGACUUUGAUCCAGCUCACACCAAGAAAAGACACUGAAGUGAAUAUCGAAUGUAACAAAUUGAGGGAAACAACGACAAAAGUUACUUCUACCAAGAGUACAAGUGAAGAAACUACUGAAAAGAGAACGACAGUAAAAACUCUAACGUCAACUAAUUCAUCUACGACACCUCACGUUGCAGAAUCCAGUGGUAAUAUAAAUAUUUA
Molecule: long non-coding RNA, 255 nt
Organism: Physella acuta
Lineage: Eukaryota; Metazoa; Mollusca; Gastropoda; Physidae
Source: RefSeq, a predicted model, not a curated record